GCAAGGCAGUGAGGGGAGUGGACGGGUUAAUGUUGCGUAAAAUUAAUUUUAUGCAUCCAUUUAAGUCACUAUUGCCACCGGAUUAAUUUUAUAUACGUAUCUGAAUUAACGGAAAUAUUUCAGUAAGUCCCUUCAUACUACUGCGCAAUGCAGACAAUUCAUAAAAGGCAACGUACUCCUUCCUUGCGUUCCUGACGGGGAGGUUAACAUUUCGCAUAUGAAGGUCGUAUUUACUUCUUUGGGUUUGAAUUGUGCACAUCUGCAUUUCUUUGAAAAUUUUCCUAGUUUUCCACCACAAAUUAUGAUAAGCAAUAUGCAUUCCGUAGCAAGCGGAAGUAUAUUUCCGGAAUUAACCUUUUCACCCGAUUCCGUUUCGUGUUUCUGCUAACAUAUUAUUUCCUAUUAAGGAAAUCAACCUGUUAUUCAUCAGCUUUUCUAAGAUCUUUGAUAAAGUACAUGAAAGGAAAACGUGUAAAAUCAGAGAUGUCCCUGUGCGUAAUUAAUUACCAGGAGGCCAUGAAGAUGUAUGGGGGAGUGGAGGUAAUACUCUGUGGGAUUGUGGAUGUUGCCACAAAUCCAUUAUUCUCGACCUCUUCUCUAGAUUGAGUGCUAGAGAAAAUAAUGACAUAUUAAGCAGUACCAGCUUUCCUGAUGUAAUUGCAUUAAUAAGGUGAGAAUUUUAUUAUUCUGAGCCUCAGUACUUGAAUACUAGUUUGAGAAUAGAGGAAGUGAAUUAGACAACAGUGCAGUCAAUAUAAGGUUUGAGCUGCUGCUCUUACUUAUCAGGACAUCAUGUUCUGACGGUGAUGUCAUGACUGUGUGCAAUGCAUCCCCACUACUACUUA
Molecule: long non-coding RNA, 845 nt
Organism: Cryptotermes secundus
Lineage: Eukaryota; Metazoa; Arthropoda; Insecta; Blattodea; Kalotermitidae
Exons: 3
Source: RefSeq, a predicted model, not a curated record